GUUAGUUGCCAUCAUUCAGUUGGGCACUCUAGCGAGACUGCCGGUAAUAAACCGGAGGAAGGUGGGGGAUGACGUCAAAUCAUCAUGCCCCUUAUGACCUGGGCUACACACGUGCUACAAUGGUUGGUACAACGAGUUGCGAGUCGGUGACGGCGAGCUAAUCUCUUAAAGCCAAUCUCAGUUCGGAUUGUAGGCUGCAACUCGCCUACAUGAAGUCGGAAUCGCUAGUAAUCGCGGAUCAGCACGCCGCGGUGAAUACGUUCCCGGGCCUU
Molecule: ribosomal RNA, 272 nt
Filed under: uncultured Streptococcus sp.
Lineage: Bacteria; Bacillati; Bacillota; Bacilli; Lactobacillales; Streptococcaceae
Description: partial 16S ribosomal RNA
Rfam family: Bacterial small subunit ribosomal RNA
Source: RNAcentral